ACUCCUACGGGAGGCAGCAGUGAGGAAUUUUGCGCAAUGGGGGAAACCCUGACGCAGCAACGCCGCGUGAGUGAUGAAGGCUUUCGGGUCGUAAAGCUCUGUCAAGUGGGAAGAAGUUGUGUAUGGCUAAUAUCUGUGCACAUUGACGGUACCACUGAGGGAAGCACCGGCUAACUUCGUGCCAGCAGCCGCGGUAAUACA
Molecule: ribosomal RNA, 201 nt
Filed under: uncultured bacterium
Lineage: Bacteria
Description: partial 16S ribosomal RNA
Rfam family: Bacterial small subunit ribosomal RNA
Source: RNAcentral